Jaculus jaculus (lesser Egyptian jerboa) is the source of this 2747-nucleotide long non-coding RNA. RefSeq lists it as uncharacterized. The transcript has 4 exons. NCBI's taxonomy places the organism in Eukaryota, Metazoa, Chordata, Mammalia, Rodentia, Dipodidae. The record is from RefSeq and is a predicted model, not a curated record.
UGGGGCAGCCAAAGAAGGAGAGCCCUGGCUGAGGGACACAGAUUAGAGAUGAGGACAUAACUCUAAAGAGUAACUCUCCCCAGUGCCUUCACACGUAAGAAGUAAGCAGUAACUCAAUCCAGUUUAGAUAAAAAGGCUCUCCAGGAAUAAUGGGAAAUAAAGGAAACAAGCAAGAAAAGCAAGAAAAAUUACUGAUGAAAAAUACAGAAAAGACCAAAAUAUUUAUGCCAAGAAGUUCCUUCAAAGUCUAGAAGGAGCACUACUGCAGUUGUUGAGUCUGCGCUGCCCACACUGAGGCUGACCUCUAUGCCUUCCUUCACUCCCUGCGGAGAGCCCAGCAAGAAAGCUGGAGGAAUGACUACCCAGGAGAUGGUCUGUUCCCAGAAGAACUUCAAGCCACACUGCAAGCCAGAAAGGCUCAGAGAAGGUGCCUUGGGGUCACAAACAUGUCGGCCACUUUGUACCCAGAUUAAUGAGGGUGCUGGGGAAAUGAACUUGGACCUGAAGGCUUGCAAAUUUCAUGAAGGUUGAUUGGACUUGAUCCAUCAUUUUACGGAAAAUUAAUUAUUUCAAAUACAUGUGGCACUUUAUGCAACCUGCCUGAUUUGCAUUGAGGAACAUUCAGCAGAAGUAAUUGAGGCACAAGCAAAUACUGGCACUGACUGAACUCAAUUUUCAUUCCAAAUUUCUGCAAAAUCCCAGGGCACAACAAUAUCAGAUGCAAGGGGGAAAACAAACAAAAGCAAUGUGAAAAGGGAACAUGAAGAGAGAAUAUUACAAGAAUCAGAGAACAAAGGGACUGCAGAACUAUUUCAGUGCCAUAGAUGAGCUGUGAGGGCUUCAUUCAGGCAAGGUGGAAGACGAUAUCAUAUGGCAUCCCGACAAUUGAUGUCUUCAUUUAAAUGUAAGAAUUUACAUUCUAAUUAGAAAGAAUUUACAUCUUAAUCAGAGGCAGCUGUAUUAUCUUGUUACUGUUUUUUUCAAAGGUAAUGAACUAAAGUACUGCUGUGCUUUUUCAACCAGAAACUAAAUAGACAGCAUCCAGGGUUAUUUUAUAGCUUACCUGCUGUAAGCUGUUAUUAAUAUUUUCAAAGAUUAAAUUCUAACAAAAAUCUUUAAAAAAUAUAAAUGUAUUUGACAUUACUGGAAUAGUGUAAGGACUUAUUUAAACAAAUCCUUUCCUAACUUGUAUUUUAAAUGUAGUUACUUAUCAAGCUAAUAGAAGCCCCUUGUGCUUCAUUAAUAUGAUACUGUUUUCAUUUGAGAGGAUGCUGAAGUUCUAAAGCAGUUAACUGUGGCAUGUUGGCAAAUCCUGGUUCUUCUCAAACUUGCUUUUGGUUGUGGAAGAUCACCUACUAAAUAUACACUUUCCCUUAUUAAUACCAUUCAAAUGAAAACACAUUCUUUUUUUCUUUGAAGAUGCUGAUAUCAUAUUUGAGACAAUAUUUUGGUUGCACUUUAGAUGACUUUGUUAGAACCAUAUUAAUAAUAUUUAAAAAUGUGAUAUUUCACAAUUAUAUACAAUUCUGACAGUAUUAGGAUUACAACAGGGAAACUAAGGGAAAUAUCACAUGCUAAUUUAUACUGUUCCAGGUUAUUCAUGAUGAUGGUAACUAGACUUAGGUACUGGUAGGUGGUGAUUUCUUUGCAGACUCAAGCCCAUCACUCAUCUGAGCAUCAGUGUGAGCUCACUGACCCAUGGCUUAGAAGAAAUUGGGCUUGGCCUCAAAGAAAUCAAGCAGGAGAAAAUUACAAGUGUUAAUAAAAAUGUAAAAUGCCACCUCUGUCCCUGGCACUAUGCGUCCUUAGGUUACUGACACUUACUUUCAUCAGCGGCAUCAUUAACAUGAAGUAGUAGUAUGCGCUUGUUGAUAAUUUGUGGGUUUAUCAUGUAAUCCAUUAUGCAAUACAAUUGUUUUAUAAAGUGCAAAGGAAAAUAAUAAAAGUGUAAAGGAAAAUGAUAAAAAAGCUUUAUCAGUUUAUAAGAUAAAUAAUGGACUAAUUUGUUAAGCCAUUCAAAAUAUUGAAAAAUAUAGUCUACUAUAAUUCUCAGGUUCAAAUUUAUCUUUCUCAUCAUAAGAAUAUCCUGAAUCUAUGCAUAUAAAAGAAAAAAAGAGAUAACAUAAAUAUUUGCUUUUUUUUAAAAAAAGGAAUAACAUAAUAGUUCCAGGUAGAUUAAAAAGGGUGGCAUUUUCCUAACCUAGGCUACUCUGAUGACAAAGAGGAGAUAAUUAUUAGUUCAUUGGUGCUUUUUCUUGUAUUCCCACUAAAGACAAUUUAUAGAGGAAAUGAUUCAGAUGGGUCUGACUGAAUUACUGGCUCUGAAAGAUGGCUUUAUACUGCUGUCAGAAACUGUCAGCCUAUUUUUGAAAGGUUUAUUUGUCUACAGCUUUUCUGUGGAUGAUUUGUUAUAAGGGCAUUAACACCACACAGUACACAUAGUGCCUUCAUUUUCAAAAGUGUCCCAGAUAAGUUUUGAUUACCCUAGGUUUUAUAGAACCUGUUUGCCUUUUCAUAAGGAAUCUAGAAACAUAAAAUACAUUUUAAUCUCAUGCUUAAGUAUGUUCCACAUAUAAUGGUCUUUUGCUCAGAGAGUACCAGAUUGUUAGUCUAUUAUCACCAACUUUCUGCUUGACCUUGUGUUUACCGAAGCUGUAAAUGCUCAUGUCCAACAAAUAUUUGGCCAUAAUAAAACAUAAUAUAUAAAUUUCUUGUCUUCCAUACAAUUUUUGACUUGGAUUAUCACA